GGUGGCCGAGACUAUUAAAAUACUGUCUUUCCUACUAGACUGCCUGCCGUUUAAUGUGACUGAGGCUCAGCUAACGAUGACACUCUGAAGGCGGAGUAAAUCUUUCUGCCCAAGAGGAGAGGACAGAGCAUCAGGAGUGAGCCCGAACCAGAUGAUUUCCCAAAUAUGGCGAGACAGGGAAAGCGCUCUGCUCCCCGCUCCGACCUCCACCCCCAGCUUGAGGCAUUUUGCUUCCCUGCCACUUGAGUGGAAGGAUGUGUGAACUACAAGUGCCAUGCAGCCUUAUCCAACAGUACCAAAAAUCGGGAAAGAAGAACAAAACAAAGAACGGAGAAAAGGCUGGAUAGCUUUGCGGCAACAGAGCUCAGCCCACGCCCCCCCUCUCACCGCAGCCCACGUAUGGGACGGGCCUGCAGGUAGGUUGAUUGCUCCAAGGUUGGGGGUUUGUACGAUGUGUGUGGUGGAAACAGAAAGCGGCCAGGACCCUCCCAGUCACUAAGGAAAACCUCACAGGACACAGACUGGGCAGGGAAAGUGGAUGAGGAACUGUAAAGGCAAAAAGGGGGAAGGGAUCAAAGAAUGAGAGUCCGAAUGAAGUUCAGGAGGCAGAACACGGGGAAUAAGGGCGCAAAGGGUUGGAAGGGUGAAGUGUGAAGCCUGAGAUCAAAAGAUUUCUUUUUUCAAUGUUUAUUUAUUUUGAAAGAGAGAGAGCAGGGAAGGGCAGAGAGAGAAGGAGAAAGAGAACCCCAGGCAGGCUCUGAGCUGUGAGCACGGAGCCCAACGUGGGGCUUGAACUCGUGAACCGCGAGACCACGCCCUGAGCCCAAACCGAGAGUCAGCCACGUAACCGACUGAGCCACCCAGGAGCCCCAUGAGAUUAAACGAUUUCUGAGGUUGUGUAAUUCCAGGAGGUGGUGAGCUCCACGGUAUGCAGCCAUCCAUGGUUUGCCGGAAGGCGAGGUGACGAAGCGGUUAUUGGAGUUAUUGGAAGAGGUCAAAGAUGGACAUCAAAGCUGAAGCCAUGAAGUCUACGGAGGGGCUUGGAGUGGAGAAGAAAAACAAGUGGCAGGCGCCCAAGUGUUUAGGGAAAGAGAGGGAGUGUGAUCAGAAGGUUGUGGAAGGUGGCCACCGGGAGAGGAGGGGGAGGUAGGGACCAAUGACAGGACUGUCAAGAAGGGCGUUUGCGUGGGAAUGGGAGAACAGCGUCCGGGAGCAGCCUGAGAGGCAGUGGGAGGCAGGCUUUGCUCCCCUGGGCAGCAGGCGAGACAGAAGAGCAGGAGACCAAAUGAGCAGCACACGCUCGGGAAGUACACGGCACAGCCUUGGCCGGGGCUGAAGGGGCCGGAGAACAUUCACCAGAUUCUGCCUGAAUAUGCAGAUUAGCUCAGCGUCCGUCGAGGCGCAGCCUUGUGCGGCUUUCCACGUAGGAGAUGGUGUCGGAUGAUGAUCAUCUUCUCAAUUGAAGACUCACACGCUCAUUCUAGUAUGUGUUAUGAAUACGUAUAUGACCAGCUUGUCAUCCUAGAGAAUUCACAAAUAACUGUGCUUAGCGUAAGAGUUCGGUUUAAAAUCGGGUCAAUUUAAAGAAAGCUAUCAAUGGGGAGCCUGGGUGGCUCCGUCGGCUAAGCAUCUGACUCUUGAGUUCAGCUCAGGUCACGAUCUCACAGUCUGUGAGUUCGAGCCCUGCAUAGGGCUCUGUGCUAACAUCGCAGAGCCUGCUUGGGAUUCUCUCUCUCUCUGCCCCUCCCCUGCUUGUGCGUGCCCGCUCUCUCCUCUCUCUCUCUCUCUCUCUCUCUCUCUUUCUC
Molecule: long non-coding RNA, 1805 nt
Organism: Lynx canadensis (Canada lynx)
Lineage: Eukaryota; Metazoa; Chordata; Mammalia; Carnivora; Felidae
Source: Ensembl